RNAcentral lists this ribosomal RNA (1389 nucleotides) under Triticum aestivum (bread wheat). RNAcentral describes it as "partial small subunit ribosomal RNA". The record is from RNAcentral. Lineage: Eukaryota; Viridiplantae; Streptophyta; Magnoliopsida; Poales; Poaceae.
AUGAGGAACUGGACGGAAGAUAUGGCUGUGAGAAGAGACAAAUACGACUAUGAAUAUGGUCGUGGUGUUGGGAUGGUCGAUGACAACAUUACAGAGGAGUAUAGGCUGAAAAAAAUUGCAGAAGAAGAAGCUCAAAAAACCAAGAAAGCUAGUAGCAAAAAAUCUAACGUUACUGGAACGAGGAAAGAGGGCAGUACCUCGGAGGCUUCGAGCCAGAAGCCUACUAUGGACCGGAUUUUGAGUGAGAUGAAUGAGCUUCGGAAGGAAAUGCUUCGUUUGCCAGAGUUAUGCGCACAGAGGAUGAUUGAGAAACUAAACAAAACCGACGUCUUCUACAAACCCAGUAACCUGAAAGAGGACGAAGAGAAUCUGUACGGAGGCAUUAAUGAGUCUUCAAACGAUGGUGGACGUCCGAAAAAAGAGUUUGUAUAUCAAAAAGAUGAUUCAGACCGGUUCCGCACACCUUCCAAAAAGAAUGUGCAAAAGGAUGAUGACGGUGUUGAUGUAACUUCUCGUGGAAACACACCUUUUUACUGCACACCUGAGUACUGGGAUAGUUUCAAGGGUGAUAUGGAUGAUCCUAUCCAAGUACCAGGAGUAUCAGAUGAAAAAGCUGCCACAUCUUUAGGGACGGACGAAAUCGCAUCGCAUGCGUCGCUUGGUUCUGAAGGAGUACAAGAGGAAGUGGAGGAGGUUACUGGCAGGCGCAAGCGCAAAGGAUCACAACAUGUCAAGUCUCCUUAUGUGGUCCCUAAACCGAACAAGCGUGCAAAACGUUCAGCUAAAGGAAAAUUGUUCCAAAAUGGUGGUGUUAACAAAUCUAGUGAUGAGUAUGAUGUGGUGAAAGCGUCCAUCAAGUACGUGCGCGCGCAUGAGUAUUCAGAAAAACAUGCCAAAACAGAAAUUUUCAAUGAUGGCAUGGAAGAAGGUCUCACUGUGCGGAGAGCUUGUCAGAUUAUUAACCAUGAGUGGCUAAGUGGCGACGUAAUUAAUGCAUACUCAUCAUAUUUGGUCGACAAAGUUAAUGAUGAUCGUUUCAUGUUGACAACUUGGAGGAUACAUUGGUUACUUCACAUUAGACCCGGAAAGAAGACCGCCGGUAACGAUUAUGAAGCAGAGUCGCAUAGUAAUGGACCCAUGAAUAGAUGUGAGGACGAGUAUUUCAAAAAAUCAAAGACUUACAUUCCUCUAAACAAGCAAAACACUCACUGGAUUACUGUCGUCAUGCAUCGCGGGAAGAGAGAGUUUCAGGUUCUUGACUCAUUGAUGACCGGAAAACUUGACAGUGUUACUAGAGAACUCGUUGAGGACCUGAGAAAACAACCAGCAGAAGAUAUUCAAGAAGCAAAUGCAGCCGAAAUUGUGAAUUAUCCGGAUGUUUCCAAUUAG